This 465-nucleotide ribosomal RNA is filed under the name uncultured bacterium. RNAcentral's name for it is "bacterial SSU rRNA". It matches the Rfam family "Bacterial small subunit ribosomal RNA", at positions 334 to 793 of the family's 1533-position model. The record is from RNAcentral.
GACUCCUACGGGAGGCAGCAGUGGGAAUAUUGCACAAUGGGCGCAAGCCUGAUGCAGCCAUGCCGCGUGUGUGAAGAAGGCCUUCGGGUGUAAAGCACUUUCAGUUGUGAGGAAGGUGGUGUCGUUAAUAGCGGCAUCAUUUGACGUUAGCAACAGAAGAAGCACCGGCUAACUCCGUGCCAGCAGCCGCGGUAAUACGGAGGGUGCGAGCGUUAAUCGGAAUUACUGGGCGUAAAGCGCAUGCAGGUGGUUUGUUAAGUCAGAUGUGAAAGCCCCGGGGCUCAACCUCGGAACUGCAUUUGAAACUGGCAGACUAGAGUACUGUAGAGGGGGUAGAAUUUCAGGUGUAGCGGUGAAAUGCGUAGAGAUCUGAAGGAAUACCGGUGGCGAAGGCGGCCCCCUGGACAGAUACUGACACUCAGAUGCGAAAGCGUGGGGAGCAAACAGGAUUAGAUACCCUGGUAG